CUCAGUCUUUGUUCAAUGCUCAGCUUUUUGGAUGUGAGUCCUCUGAGCCGGCCUCCGUGGCACUCAGUAAGCAGCGGGCUCAGGGAGAGCGUCCUGGAUGGUCACCAUGCAGGUAAGAUGAGGAGGACACUUGGAACCAGGCAUUGGAUGCGAGCCCCACCCCAUGGGAGGGGGACGGGGGGAUGCUGGGCACCAGGGGGACCUGUGGGCCAGCUGGCCCUGGGCUUGUGCUUGGGGAGUGAAUGAUGGGUUCUGACCCCCAUGCACCCCUGUGGGCCCCUGGCAUCACUGGCCCCAUCCUUCACCCCUGCCAACCACGCUUGCCCUGUGCCUCUGAAGCUCCCCCACUAAGGGGGUGGAGUCUAAUUCCCUGCCCCUUGACUGUGGGUUCAGCCAUGUGACUUGCUUUGACUGAGGGGAUGUUCACGGGGCAUGUGGUGCUCUGAACUGAGAGCUGCGGUGACCAGGCUGCUGUCCUGUGUUGCUGCCAUCAGUGAGGGUGGCUAGCCUGCUGGUCAGGGGGAGGAUGAGGGAGUGGGGGGCAGAGCUCAGCUGCCCCAGCGGCCUGGCCUGGACCAGCCAACCAAAUGCUGACUCUGUGCUGCUGAGAUCGUGUUUGUGUUUGUUACUCAGCAACUAGCUGAUACACGGUCCCAGCAACAGACAAGGAAGCCCAGAGGUAGCUAAGUGACACUCCCAAGGCUACACAGCAUCUCCUACUGGGAGCUGUGUAAGAAAUGACCCCCCCCAAACCCUCCAUCCUGGCAGCUGAGGGAUGAAGGAGAGACCCAGUCCUCCUGUUGUCCACCUCCUCAAUAUCUAGGUGGGACCCCUACAAUAUCUUGAUUUUUUAAUGUUGACAAUUGUGGUCAGCUGAAAAAUCCCCCCCCCCCCACCCCCACCGCCCUAAAAGAAAAACAGCCCGUGAAGGUGACCUUAUUUGGAAAUAGAGUCUCUGCAGAUAUGAUCAAGUUGAAGGUCUCAAGAUGAGAUCUUUCAGGACUAGUCAUAGGCCCGAAAUCCAAUGGGAAGUGUCCAUAUGUAAGAGGGAGAUGGAGGGAGGUUACACUAAGAUGAAGUGAAGAUGGAGGUGGAGACGGGAGUGAUGUGGGCGUGAGCCAAGGAACUGGAGGCUGGAAGAGGCAGUGAGGGCUCGUCCCCUAAUUCCCCGGAGGGAGCUCAGCCUUGCCGACCCCUUGAUUUCGGCCCAGGGAUACUGAUCUCAGACUUUUGGCCUCCAGGACUGGGAGAGCAUAAAUGUCUUUCUUUUAAGCCACCGAGUUUGUGGGACUUUGUUACCUCAGGAAACAAAUACAACAGUAUAUUCAACACUGUGAAGUGUGCUGUGCCAGGUGGACCGUGCCUGAGGCUGGGCCGGCCUGUGGUCUGCAGCAUUGACCCCUUCUGAGCCCCCUGAGGGAGCCCCUGCCUGCCCCAGGCCAGGGUCUCAGUGCAUCCGGCUGUCUCUGCCGAGGCCGCAGACCCUCCCUCUUGCACCUCCGUGUGCUUGAGAUGAAGAGCCGGCGCUGUGUCCUCAGGCUGCUGAGGGGUAGCCCUUGGGUGGCUGGCCGUGGUCUCAGGGGCAGGAACGGCACAGGGGGCUGAGCAGGGAUUUCAGGUGCUGUCCCUGCCCGACCCUCCCAGUUGGCCCAGCUGACUUCCCCUGCCUGGCUCAGCAGCGAGGGGCCCAGCAGCAGGGAGGUCAGUACCUUGGACAGCGUCCUGCAGCCCCCUGUGAGCCGAGGAGGGCUGUGUGUGUGUGCGUGUGUGUGUGUUUGCACGUGUGCAUGUGUGUGCAUGUGCACAUGUGUGAGUGAGUGGGGGGUGCAGGGUCCCGCAGCUGGCUGGGCCAUGCCUCUUUUGUCUGCCCUGCGGGUGGGUCUGUCAAUACCUGGCUGAGUGGCCAGUGCCGUGGAUGAGUGGCUCUGCCCAGCAUAGGCCUGUGAACUGACCUCUCUGAAUCCUCCUGGGACAGAGGAGUGACAGCGACCCCCAUCCUGGGAAAUGACCCAAGAGAAGGCCUCUGGGGCUCCCUGGAAAGGGCCUCAAGCUGGAUUUUUCAGGUCGUUUGCCAGGCCCUGACCUCUAGGCCUGUAAGCUCCCCACUUGAAGCUGGGAGGGGGGUGCUUCGCAGAUCACCUGACCCUCACCCCCACCACAGGGCCUCACCCUGGGAGUCUGAUUACAAGGAGUGUCCCCCCACCAGGACUCCGGUCCCAGGCCUACAGCAGUUGCCUAAUUGUGAAUGUAAUUAACUGCUCGCACCCUCAAAAUUAGCAAGUGGUUAAUUGUGCCUGUAAUUAUCAACUGCACCCAUGAUUAACCGUGUGAGUGGUUUUUUUUUUUUUUUUGAGACGGAGUCUCGCUCUGUCGCCCAGGCUGGAGUGCAGUGGCGGGACCUCGGCUCACUGCAAGCUCCGCCUCCCGGGUUCACGCCAUUCUCCUGCCUCAGCCUCCCAAGUAGCUGGGACUACAGGCGCCCGCCACUACGCCCGGCUAAUUUUUUGUAUUUUUAGUAGAGACGGGGUUUCACCGUUUUAGCCGGGAUGGUCUCGAUCUCCUGACCUCGUGAUCCGCCCGCCUCGGCCUCCCAAAGUGCUGGGAUUACAGGCGUGAGCCACCGCGCCCGGCCGUGAGUGGUUUUUUGUUAUGCAAGUCAGUGUACAUGUGAAUUGUGCCCCAGGAAAAGGAAGGUGGGGGGGUGCCCAGGGCUGGGG
This 2717-nucleotide long non-coding RNA is filed under the name Homo sapiens (human). Its description in RNAcentral is "HSALNT0402291". The stretch from base 217 to 333 matches the Rfam family "mir-1257 microRNA precursor family". The record is from RNAcentral. Lineage: Eukaryota; Metazoa; Chordata; Mammalia; Primates; Hominidae.